RNAcentral lists this ribosomal RNA (497 nucleotides) under uncultured bacterium. RNAcentral describes it as "partial 16S ribosomal RNA". It matches the Rfam family "Bacterial small subunit ribosomal RNA", at positions 28 to 507 of the family's 1533-position model. The record is from RNAcentral.
GAUGAGCGCUGGCGGCGUGCCUAAUACAUGCAAGUCGAGCGAACAGACGAGGAGCUUGCUCCUCUGACGUUAGCGGCGGACGGGUGAGUAACACGUGGAUAACCUACCUAUAAGACUGGGAUAACUUCGGGAAACCGGAGCUAAUACCGGAUAAUAUAUUGAACCGCAUGGUUCAAUAGUGAAAGACGGUUUUGCUGUCACUUAUAGAUGGAUCCGCGCCGCAUUAGCUAGUUGGUAAGGUAACGGCUUACCAAGGCAACGAUGCGUAGCCGACCUGAGAGGGGGAUCGGCCACACUGGAACUGAGACACGGUCCAGACUCCUACGGGAGGCAGCAGCAGGGAAUCUUCCGCAAUGGGCGAAAGCCUGACGGAGCAACGCCGCGUGAGUGAUGAAGGUCUUCGGAUCGUAAAACUCUGUUAUUAGGGAAGAACAAAUGUGUAAGUAACUAUGCACGUCUUGACGGUACCUAAUCAGAAAGCCACGGCUAACUACGUG